This 1035-nucleotide ribosomal RNA is filed under the name Triticum aestivum (bread wheat). Its description in RNAcentral is "partial small subunit ribosomal RNA". The record is from RNAcentral. Lineage: Eukaryota; Viridiplantae; Streptophyta; Magnoliopsida; Poales; Poaceae.
AUGGAGCCCUGCCGCCACAUCGACCCCUCCAGGAGGCCGAGGAACAGCCACAAGGUGGUCAUCGAAACGCCUGCGAUGGAGCACCAGAUCGCCUUCCUCCGCCGUCAUGCUGUCCUCCUAACCGCGGUGGCGGAGAGGCACGCGGCCAACCCCAUGACGAUGGGCCGCACCUUCGACGCUGCGCUGCGCACCCCUGCCCACCUGCUGCGGGUCACGAUCCACGACCCGGAGGACUUCCUCGUGCUCUUCGAGCUGCCGGCCCACCACGACAAUGCCGUGCGCCUCGGCUCCCUCAACGUCGAUGGCGUCGUCUUCUCCAUCAAGCCGUGGCACGAAGACGAUCACGCAAUGCACCAGGACUUCAUGCUGCACGUCCGGGUGGUGAUCGAAAAGAUGCCGCUGCAGAUGUGGUCCGUGGAGGGCGCGGCCGAGGUCCUCGGCGUCAACUGCAUCAUCGACCGCCUCAACACCCACACGCACGAGCGCGGCCACACGCGGACCUUCGCGUGCUGGGUCUGGGUCUGGGAUGUAGCCUUCAUCGCCACCAAGCACACCAUCUGGCGGGCGGCGCGGGGCGCGUUGAGACCAUGCUCGGCGCCUCCCCCCAAGCCGCGAGGUGCCUCCUCCCCCCGCGUCAAGCAGCAUCAGCUUCUCAUCCACGUCGACCGCGUCGAGGACUGGUCCACCCCCUCGCCGUGCUCCUCGCACUUCGCCCAGAGCGUCCUUCCCUCCUCGGGGUCCGACGACGAGCGCUCCGACCCGACGGUGUGGACCGGCAUGUGGGCGAUGCACGUGGAGGAUGGCCAAGGCCAGGCCAGGCGGCACCCGGCGGUCGUCGCUCCGUCUGGCUGCGGCAGCCUGCAGCUCGGCCCCCGCUGCAACAAUGACGACCAAGAUGGUGAGUGGAGGCGCCGCUCCUGGAAGGACACCCUCCUGGGAAGGCCGCAGGGAGGGCGUGAGCCGCUGCCCAGGCGCGGCCCCACAGCCCCGCCCAGGCAGCGGAGCAGGACGCCUGUCAGCCGGCGCCACCACUAG